GCCAAAAAUCUAGCCCCCCCCCCCCCAUUACUUAGAAACACUAACCUACUUAUUACAAUAAAACAAAGCAUUUUUACAAUUAAGUAUAGGAGAUAAAAAAAUUAACUGGAGCUAUAAAAUUAGUACCGCAAGGGAAAGCUGAAAUAUAAGUGAAAUAAACGUUUAAGCAUAAAAAAGUAGAGACUUUCCCUUGUACCUUUUGCAUCAUGGUUUAACUAGUCCUAAUCAAGCAGAAAGAAUUUAAGUUUGACUCCCCGAAACUAAGUGAGCUACUCCAAGGCAGCCUUAUGAGCCAACCCGUCUCUGUUGCAAAAGAGUGGGAAGACCUUAGAGUAGAGGUGAUAGACCAAACGAACUUAGUGAUAGCUGGUUACUUGAUAAAAGAAUUUUAGUUCUACCUAAAGCCCCCAAUAAAGUUCAAUAAACUAAUAUUUAUGCUUUAGAGUUAUUCAAUUAAGGUACAGCCUAUUUGAAUGAGGAAACAACCUAGACUAAUGGGUUAAAUUUUUACAGUGUACCAAAGUGGGCCUAAAAGCAGCCACCUUCAACAAUAGCGUCAAAGCUUUACUACACAAGUAUAUUUAAUUUUAUAAACCAACCUAAACCCUUUAUUUUCAUCAAGUAAUUCUAUACACCUAUAGAACAUAAAAUGUUAAAACUAGUAACAAGAAGUAGACCCUUCUCUUAAAUGUAAGUGUAAGCCAGAAAGGAUAAACCACUGUCAACUAACACUAAUGAUUUUUAAUUAGCAACACCACAAGAAAACCCUAAUAAAACAAAUGUUAAACUAACACAAGAACAUUUCAAGAAAGAUUAAAAGAAAAAGAAGGAACUCGGCAAAUACCAACCCCGCCUGUUUACCAAAAACAUCGCCUCUUGACAAACAUAAGAGGUCCAGCCUGCCCAGUGACCCAGUUCAACGGCCGCGGUAUCCUAACCGUGCGAAGGUAGCGUAAUCACUUGUUCUUUAAAUGAGGACUAGUAUGAAUGGCAUCACGAGGGUUACACUGUCUCCUUUUUUUAAUCAGUAAAACUAAUCUUCCCGUGAAGAAGCGGGAAUAUUACUAUAAGACGAGAAGACCCCAUGGAGCUUUAAACAAAUUAACACUUGCUGCCUAAGAUAACUUUUCCAGAAACACAACACACAGCAUAGCAUGAUGAUUAAUAGUUUUCGAUUGGGGUGAUCACGGAGUAAAAAAUAACCUCCAUGCCGAAAGGGCUCCUCCCUGAGCAAAAAGCUACGACUUUAAGCACUAAAAAACUAACGUAUAUUGACCCAAUACUUUGAUCAACGAACCAAGUUACCCUAGGGAUAACAGCGCAAUCCACUUCAAGAGCCCCUAUCGACAAGUGGGUUUACGACCUCGAUGUUGGAUCAGGGUAUCCUAGUGGUGCAGCCGCUACUAACGGUUCGUUUGUUCAACGAUUAAAACCCU
RNAcentral lists this ribosomal RNA (1436 nucleotides) under Boana marianitae. RNAcentral's name for it is "partial 16S ribosomal RNA". It matches the Rfam family "Bacterial large subunit ribosomal RNA", at positions 361 to 2597 of the family's 2925-position model. Lineage: Eukaryota; Metazoa; Chordata; Amphibia; Anura; Hylidae. The record is from RNAcentral.